GACGAACGCUGGCGGCGUGCUUAACACAUGCAAGUCGAACGGAAAGGCCUGCUUUCCCUUGUGGAUUGCGGGUACUCGAGUGGCGAACGGGUGAGUAACACGUGAGUGAUCUGCCCCCAACUUGGGUAUAAGCCUGGGAAACUGGGUCUAAUUCCCGAUAGGACUGCAGGGUGGUGCCUGUGGUGGAAAACGAUUUUCUAGUGGUUGGGGAUGAGCUCGCGGCCUAUCAGCUUGUUGGUGGGGUAAUGGCCUACCAAGGCGGCGACGGGUAGCCGGCCUGAGAGGGUGGACGGCCACAUUGGGACUGAGAUACGGCCCAGACUCCUACGGGAGGCAGCAGUGGGGAAUAUUGCACAAUGGGCGGAAGCCUGAUGCAGCGACGCCGCGCGGGGGAUGACGGCCUUCGGGUUGUAAACUCCUUUCGACCGCGAGGAAGCCACCUGGUUGGAAGGGUGGUGACGGUAGUGGUAGAAGAAGCACCGGCUAACUACGUG
This 494-nucleotide ribosomal RNA is filed under the name uncultured bacterium. Its description in RNAcentral is "partial 16S ribosomal RNA". It matches the Rfam family "Bacterial small subunit ribosomal RNA", at positions 28 to 507 of the family's 1533-position model. The record is from RNAcentral.